RNAcentral lists this ribosomal RNA (537 nucleotides) under Triticum aestivum (bread wheat). RNAcentral describes it as "partial small subunit ribosomal RNA". The record is from RNAcentral. Lineage: Eukaryota; Viridiplantae; Streptophyta; Magnoliopsida; Poales; Poaceae.
AUGCAAUGCAAUGGAAUGGAAUGGCUUUACCGAGCUGCACAUCAAUCAGCAGCUCAUGGCAACAAACAAAUCAUCAGUGUAAGUGGAAAAGAAAAACAGAGUACACAUCAGCGAUCUUCAGAGAAGCAGCACGGCCAAGGAUUUCAGCCGGCAGGACAUGGCGUCGGCCAUGGCGGCCACGUUCUCCCGGGCGAUGCAGCUCCAGCUCUGCCCGCUGCCCGAGACCCGGCAAGCCGUCGCGAAGUCAAGGAUCUUGCCGAAGAUUCUGAACAUCUCUACAAGUUGAUCCUGUCCUGGCCGGUGGCGAACACUGUUGGAAUCCAUGGGUGCGUCCGGGUGCGCGGACGCCUCGGUCCACUGGAGCAGCGGUGUCAAGCCGAGGUUCAUCUCGAACACCUUCCGCACCACCUUGUCCCUUCUAUUCGCCGGGUCACACCACGAGACGCAGAGCAUGAACAUGGAUGCGCAGCAGACCAGCGCCGGCGUGUAGUCUCGGAGCCGUGGCGGCGGCCGGGACGUCUGGACGACGGACCAUGA